This 438-nucleotide ribosomal RNA is filed under the name uncultured bacterium. RNAcentral describes it as "bacterial SSU rRNA". It matches the Rfam family "Bacterial small subunit ribosomal RNA", at positions 958 to 1392 of the family's 1533-position model. The record is from RNAcentral.
AACGCGAAGAACCUUACCAGGCCUUGACAUGCAGAGAGGUUUACAGAGAUGGAGUUUGGUCCCUUACGGGAACUCAGUGACAGGUGCCCCAUGGGUGUCGUCAGCUCGUGUCGUGAGAUGUUGGGUUAAGUCCCGCAACGAGCGCAAAACCCUUGUCCUUAGUUACCAGCAUUAAGGUGGGCACUCUAAGGGAACUGCCGGUGACAAACCGGAGGAAGGUGGGGAUGACGUCAAUUCAUCAUGGCCCUUACGGGCUGGGCUACACACGUGCUACAAUGGUCGGUACAAAGGGUUGCCAAGCCGCGAGGUCGAGCUAAUCCCAAAAAAGGGAUCGUAGUCCGGAUCGCAGUCUGCAACUCGACUGCGUGAAGUCGGAAACGCUAGUAAUCGUGAAUCAGAAUGUGACGGUGAAUACGUUCCCGGGCCUUCUACACACCG